This 447-nucleotide ribosomal RNA is filed under the name uncultured bacterium. Its description in RNAcentral is "partial 16S ribosomal RNA". It matches the Rfam family "Bacterial small subunit ribosomal RNA", at positions 29 to 523 of the family's 1533-position model. The record is from RNAcentral.
AGCGAACGCUGGCGGCAGGCCUAACACAUGCAAGUCGAGCGCCCCGCAAGGGGAGCGGCAGACGGGAGAGUAACACGUGGGAACGUACCCUUCAGUUCGGAACAACCCAGGGAAACUUGGGCUAAUACCGGAUACGUCCGUAAGGAGAAAGAUUUAUCGCUGAAGGAUCGGCCCGCGUCUGAUUAGCUAGUUGGUGGGGUAACGGCCCACCAAGGCGAAGAUCAGUAGCUGGUCUGAGAGGAUGAUCAGCCGCACUGGGACUGAGACACGGCCCAGACUCCUACGGGAGGCAGGAGUGGAGAAUAUUGGAAAAUGGGCGCAAGCCUGAUCCAGCCAGGCCGCGUGGAUGAUGAAGGCCCUAGGGUUGUAAAGUCCUUUCGGCGGGGAAGAUAAUGACGGUACCCGCAGAAGAAGCCCCGGCUAACUUCGUGCCAGCCGCCGCCGUAA